GCCGGGCGUGGUGGCGGGCGCCUGUAGUCCCAGCUACACGGGAGGCUGAGGCAGGAGAAUGGCUCGAACCCGGGAGGCGGAGCUUGCAGUGAGCCGAGAUCGCGCCAUUGCACUCCAGCCUGGGUGACAGAGCGAGACUCCGUCUCAAAAAAAAAAAAAGUAAUAAUAAUGAUGAUAUGUCGCCCAGGCUGGAGUGCAGUGGCAUGAUCUUGGCUCACUGCAACCUCCCCCACCCAGGCUCAGGUGAUCCUCCUGCCUCAG
This is a non-coding RNA of Homo sapiens (human), 261 nucleotides long. The record is from Rfam. Lineage: Eukaryota; Metazoa; Chordata; Mammalia; Primates; Hominidae.